RNAcentral lists this ribosomal RNA (497 nucleotides) under uncultured bacterium. Its description in RNAcentral is "partial 16S ribosomal RNA". It matches the Rfam family "Bacterial small subunit ribosomal RNA", at positions 28 to 507 of the family's 1533-position model. The record is from RNAcentral.
GAUGAACGCUGGCGGCGUGCCUAAUACAUGCAAGUCGAGCGAACAGACGAGGAGCUUGCUCCUCUGACGUUAGCGGCGGACGGGUGAGUAACACGUGGAUAACCUACCUAUAAGACUGGGAUAACUUCGGGAAACCGGAGCUAAUACCGGAUAAUAUAUUGAACCGCAUGGUUCAAUAGUGAAAGACGGUUUUGCUGUCACUUAUAGAUGGAUCCGCGCCGCAUUAGCUAGUUGGUAAGGUAACGGCUUACCAAGGCAACGAUGCGUAGCCGACCUGAGAGGGUGAUCCGCCACACUGGAACUUAGACCAGGUCCCGACCCCUACGGGAAGCAGCAGUAGGGAAUCCUCCGCAAUGGGCGAAAGCCUGACGGAGCAACGCCGCGUGAGUGAUGAAGGUCUUCGGAUCGUAAAACUCUGUUAUUAGGGAAGAACAAAUGUGUAAGUAACUAUGCACGUCUUGACGGUACCUAAUCAGAAAGCCACGGCUAACUACGUG